UCCAAUCUCUUCUAUUUGUAGUUUAGUGUUCAAACUCUUUAAUUAAGGAAAGCUAUGUCUGAUAGCUGCUAAUAAAGAAAUCACACUUGGGGGCGCCUGGGUGGCUCAGUGGGUUAAAGCCUCUG
Lontra canadensis (Northern American river otter) is the source of this 125-nucleotide long non-coding RNA. RefSeq lists it as uncharacterized. Lineage: Eukaryota; Metazoa; Chordata; Mammalia; Carnivora; Mustelidae. The transcript has 3 exons. The record is from RefSeq and is a predicted model, not a curated record.